AUACGGAGGGGGCAAGCGUUGCUCGGAUUUACUGGGCGUAAAGGGCGCGUAGGCGGAUAAUUAAGUCAGGCGUGAAAGCCCCGGGCUCAACCCGGGAACCGCGUUUGAAACUGAUCAUCUAGAGUUCGGAAGAGGGUGGUGGAAUUCCCAGUGUAGAGGUGAAAUUCGUAGAUAUUGGGAAGAACACCAGUGGCGAAGGCGGCCACCUGGUCCGACACUGACGCUGAGGCGCGAAAGCGUGGGGAGCAAACAGGAUUAGAUACCCUAGUAGUCC
Molecule: ribosomal RNA, 274 nt
Filed under: uncultured bacterium
Lineage: Bacteria
Description: partial 16S ribosomal RNA
Rfam family: Bacterial small subunit ribosomal RNA
Source: RNAcentral